RNAcentral lists this ribosomal RNA (301 nucleotides) under uncultured bacterium. RNAcentral describes it as "partial 16S ribosomal RNA". It matches the Rfam family "Bacterial small subunit ribosomal RNA", at positions 509 to 807 of the family's 1533-position model. The record is from RNAcentral.
CAGUCGCCGCGGUAAUACGUAGGGUGCGAGCGUUAAUCGGAAUUACUGGGCGUAAAGCGUGCGCAGGCGGUUAUAUAAGACAGAUGUGAAAUCCCCGGGCUCAACCUGGGACCUGCAUUUGUGACUGUAUAGCUAGAGUACGGUAGAGGGGGAUGGAAUUCCGCGUGUAGCAGUGAAAUGCGUAGAUAUGCGGAGGAACACCGAUGGCGAAGGCAUUCCCCUGGACCUGUACUGACGCUCAUGCACGAAAGCGUGGGGAGCAAACAGGAUUAGAGACCCCCGUAGUCCCUGUCUCUUAUAC